GGAGCGGUAGUUCAGUUGGUUAGAACGCCUGCCUGUCACGCAGGAGGUCGCGGGUUCGAGUCCCGUCCGUUCCG
Molecule: transfer RNA, 74 nt
Filed under: bacterium
Lineage: Bacteria
Also listed under: 3 other names
Description: tRNA-Asp
Rfam family: tRNA
About the family: Transfer RNA (tRNA) molecules are approximately 80 nucleotides in length. Their secondary structure includes four short double-helical elements and three loops (D, anti-codon, and T loops). Further hydrogen bonds mediate the characteristic L-shaped molecular structure. tRNAs have two regions of fundamental functional importance: the anti-codon, which is responsible for specific mRNA codon recognition, and the 3' end, to which the tRNAs corresponding amino acid is attached (by aminoacyl-tRNA synthetases). tRNAs cope with the degeneracy of the genetic code in two manners: having more than one tRNA (with a specific anti-codon) for a particular amino acid; and 'wobble' base-pairing, i.e. permitting non-standard base-pairing at the 3rd anti-codon position.
Source: RNAcentral